Molecule: ribosomal RNA, 497 nt
Filed under: uncultured bacterium
Lineage: Bacteria
Description: partial 16S ribosomal RNA
Rfam family: Bacterial small subunit ribosomal RNA
Source: RNAcentral
GAUGAACGCUGGCGGCGUGCCUAAUACAUGCCAGUCGAGCGAACGGACGAGAAGCUUGCUUCUCUGAUGUUAGCGGCGGACGGGUGAGUAACACGUGGAUAACCUACCUAUAAGACUGGGAUAACUUCGGGAAACCGGAGCUAAUACCGGAUGAUAUUUUGAACCGCAUGGUUCAAAAGUGAAAGACGGUCUUGCUGUCACUUAUAGAUGGAUCCGCGCUGCAUUAGCUAGUUGGUAAGGUAACGGCUUACCAAGGCAACGAUGCAUAGCCGACCUGAGAGGGUGAUCGGACACACUGGAACUGAGACACGGUCCAGACUCCUACGGGAGGCAGCAGUAGGGAAUCUUCCGCAAUGGGCGAAAGCCUGACGGAGCAACGCCGCGUGAGUGAUGAAGGUCUUCGGAUCGUAAAACUCUGUUAUUAGGGAAGAACAUAUGUGUAAGUAACUGUGCACAUCUUGACGGUACCUAAUCAGAAAGCCACGGCUAACUACGUG